UACGUAGGGGGCGAGCGUUGUCCGGAUUUAUUGGGCGUAAAGAGCUCGUAGGCGGUUCGGUAAGUCGAAUGUGAAAUCUCCACGCUCAACGUGGAGGGGUCAUUCGAAACUGCCGUGACUUGAGUACGGUAGGGGAGUGUGGAAUUCCCGGUGUAGCGGUGAAAUGCGCAGAGAUCGGGAGGAACACCAAUGGCGAAGGCAGCUCGCUGGGACGGUACUGACGCUGAGACGCGAAAGCGUGGGGAGCAAACAGG
RNAcentral lists this ribosomal RNA (254 nucleotides) under uncultured bacterium. RNAcentral's name for it is "partial 16S ribosomal RNA". It matches the Rfam family "Bacterial small subunit ribosomal RNA", at positions 524 to 776 of the family's 1533-position model. The record is from RNAcentral.